RNAcentral lists this unclassified non-coding RNA (584 nucleotides) under Hevea brasiliensis (rubber tree). Lineage: Eukaryota; Viridiplantae; Streptophyta; Magnoliopsida; Malpighiales; Euphorbiaceae. The record is from RNAcentral.
AAAAUCUCAUUGUCCUUGGUAUCUCUCAUAAUCACAAACACAAGAGUGAAGAAUUUGCCGACAUGGCCUCAGCUUGUGCUUCAUCCACCAUUGCUGCUGUUGCUUUUUCUUCUCCAAGUUCGAGGAGAAAUGGAUCAAUUGUAGGAACAACAAAAGCUUCAUUCCUUGGAGGAAGAAGAUUGAGAGUAAGCAAAUACAGUACUACACCUACAGCACGAAGUGCAACUACAGUGUGCGUUGCUGCAGACCCUGACAGACCCCUCUGGUUCCCUGGCAGCACCCCACCUCCAUGGCUUGAUGGCAGCCUUCCCGGAGACUUCGGUUUCGAUCCUCUUGGUCUAGCAUCUGAUCCAGAGAGCUUGAGAUGGAACCAACAGGCAGAACUUGUACACUGCAGAUGGGCAAUGUUGGGAGCUGCAGGAAUUUUCAUUCCAGAAUUACUCACAAAAAUUGGAAUACUUAACACACCUUCAUGGUACACUGCUGGUGAACAAGAAUAUUUCACGGACACAACGACUCUCUUCAUCGUUGAAUUGGUACUUAUUGGUUGGGCUGAGGGAAGAAGAUGGUCAGAUAUGAUUAAG